GACGGACGCUGGCGGCGUGCUUAACACAUGCAAGUCGAGCGGUAAGGCUCCUUCGGGAGUACACGAGCGGCGAACGGGUGCGUAACACGUGAGCAAUCUGCCCUUCACUUUGGGAUAACUUCCGGAAACGGAAGCUAAUACCGAAUACGACCACUUCAGGCAUCUGAUGGUGGUGGAAAGUUCCGGCGGUGAAGGAUGAGCUCGCGGCCUAUCAGCUUGUUGGUGAGGUAAUGGCUCACCAAGGCUUCGACGGGUAGCCGGGCUGAGAGGGUGACCGGCCACGCGGGGACGGAUACACGGGCCAGACUCCUACGUGAGGCAGCAGGGGGGAAUAUUGGUCAAUGGCCGAAAGCCUGAUCCAGCAACGCCGCGUGAGGGAUGACGGCCUUCGGGUUAUAAACCUCUUUCAGCGGGGACGAAGCGAAAGUGACGGUACCCGCAGAAGAAGCACCGGCCAACUACGUGCCAGCAGCCGCAGUAA
This 481-nucleotide ribosomal RNA is filed under the name uncultured bacterium. RNAcentral's name for it is "partial 16S ribosomal RNA". It matches the Rfam family "Bacterial small subunit ribosomal RNA", at positions 28 to 523 of the family's 1533-position model. The record is from RNAcentral.